GAUGAAGAACGUAGCGAAAUGCGAUAAGUAAUGUGAAUUGCAGAAUUCAGUGAAUCAUCGAAUCUUUGAACGCACAUUGCGCCCCCUGGUAUUCCGGGGGGCAUGCCUGUUCGAGCGUCAUUUCAACCCUCAAGCUCUGCUUGGUAUUGAGUCCAUGUCAGCAAUGGCAGGCUCCAAAAUCAGUGGCGGCGCCGCUGGGUCCUGAACGUAGUAAUAUCUCUCGUUACAGGUGCUCGGCGUGCUUCUGCCAAAACCCCAAUUUUUCUAUGGUUGACCUCGGAUCAGGUAGGGAUACCCGCUGAACUUAAGCAUAUCAAAAGCGGAGGA
This 327-nucleotide unclassified non-coding RNA is filed under the name soil metagenome. RNAcentral describes it as "partial contains 5.8S ribosomal RNA, internal transcribed spacer 2, and large subunit ribosomal RNA". The stretch from base 1 to 120 matches the Rfam family "5.8S ribosomal RNA", at positions 35 to 154 of the family's 154-position model. The record is from RNAcentral.